AUACGUAUGUCGCAAGCGUUAUCCGGAUUUAUUGGGCGUAAAGCGCGUCUAGGCGGCUUAGUAGGUCUGAUGUGAAAAUGCGGGGCUCAACCCCGUAUUGCGUUGGAAACUGCUAAACUAGAGUACUGGAGAGGUAGGCGGAACUACAAGUGUAGAGGUGAAAUUCGUAGAUAUUUGUAGGAAUGCCGAUGGGGAAGCCAGCCUACUGGACAGAUACUGACGCUAAAGCGCGAAAGCGUGGGAAGCAAACAGGAUUAGAUGCCCUGGUAGUCCACGCCGUAAACGAUGAUUACUAGGUGUUGGGGGUCGAACCUCAGCGCCCAAGCUAACGCGAUAAGUAAUCCGCCUGGGGAGUACGUACGCAAGUAUGAAACUCAAAUGAAUUGACGGGG
This 392-nucleotide ribosomal RNA is filed under the name uncultured bacterium. Its description in RNAcentral is "partial 16S ribosomal RNA". It matches the Rfam family "Bacterial small subunit ribosomal RNA", at positions 523 to 918 of the family's 1533-position model. The record is from RNAcentral.